GACGAACGCUGGCGGCGUGCCUAAUACAUGCAAGUCGAACGCAGUGGGGACGGGUGAGUAACACGUGGGUAACCUCCCAUCAGAGGGGAGAACACUUGGAAACAGGUGCUAAACCGAUCCUGAUGGAUGGACCUGCGGUGCAUUAGGGAGUUGGUGAGGUAACGGCUCACCAAGGCCACGAUGCAUAGCCGGCCGGAGAGGGUGAUCGGCCACACGGGUACUGAGACACGGCCCAGACUCCUACGGGAGGCAGCAGUAGGGAAUCUUCGGCAAUGGGCGCAAGUCUGACCCAGCAACGCCGCGUGAGUGAAGAAGGUUUUCGGAUCGUAAAACUCUGUUGUUAGAGAAGCGUUAUCUAACCAGAAAGCCACGGCUAACUACGUGCCAGCCGCCGCGGUAAUAC
This 403-nucleotide ribosomal RNA is filed under the name uncultured bacterium. RNAcentral's name for it is "partial 16S ribosomal RNA". It matches the Rfam family "Bacterial small subunit ribosomal RNA", at positions 28 to 526 of the family's 1533-position model. The record is from RNAcentral.